RNAcentral lists this long non-coding RNA (621 nucleotides) under Coffea arabica (coffee). Its description in RNAcentral is "long non-coding RNA (CARA_LNC002162)". The record is from RNAcentral. Lineage: Eukaryota; Viridiplantae; Streptophyta; Magnoliopsida; Gentianales; Rubiaceae.
CAAUUCUUGAGUUCAUAAACCAAUUUGUGUGAGGAAAACAAAAAUGGGUUCCAAGGCAAUUCUCCUCCUAUGCCUUUUAGCAGCAGUUCUGAUGAUUGCCUCAGAGGUGACAGCCAGGGAUUUGGCCGAAAAUAGUAAGCUUUCUUUUUUUUUUUCUUAAGGUGGCCGAAAAUAGUUAGUAAUCCAUUCAAGAACUUACUCUUUCCUUUAUCAACAAUUUUAUACCUGCAAAACAUAGACGUUUUUGCACAACAUGAAUUCCUCAAGACGGUUUUUUUCCUUCAAAAAAAAAUGUACUAACUAAAUAGCUCUGCAUGAUCCCGUGACUAUUUGCAGCCAAUGCAGCAGAGAAGAGUACUGAAGGCCUGGAAGAAUCCAAGUACGGUGGUGGCGGCGGUUGUCAUGGAUACGGUUGUGGUGGUGGUGGCGGCGGUUGUCAUGGAUACGGUUGUGGUGGUGGUGGCGGCGGCCAUUGUUAUGGAGGCCAUUGUGGUGGCGGCGGCGGCGGCGGCCAUUGUUACCAUGGUUGCUGUGGCCACGGCUAUGGAGGCUGCAGAUGCUGCACAUAUGCUGGUGAGCCAAAGGACGCUGGUUACACUGAGCCAGAAACCAAACCGCAAA